GAUGAACGCUGGCGGCGUGCCUAAUACAUGCAAGUCGAGCGAACGGACGAGAAGCUUGCUUCUCUGAUGUUAGCGGCGGACGGGUGAGUAACACGUGGAUAACCUACCUAUAAGACUGGGAUAACUUCGGGAAACCGGAGCUAAUACCGGAUAAUAUUUUGAACCGCAUGGUUCAAAAGUAAAAGACGGUCUUGCUGUCACUUAUAGAUGGAUCCGCGCUGCAUUAGCUAGUUGGUAAGGUAACGGCUUACCAAGGCAACGAUGCAUAGCCGACCUGAGAGGGGGAAUGGGCACAAUGGAACCGAGAAAAGGGCCAAGACCCCAAGGGGGGCAGCCGGAGGGAAUCCUUCCGCAAGGGGGGAAGGCCUACGGGGCCACGGCCGGGGAGUGAUGAAGGGUCUCGGAUCGGAAAAACCCUUUAAUAGGGAAGAAAAUAUGGGUAAGGUAACGGUCAAAACCUUACGGUACCCAAUCAAAAAGCCCCGGCCUACUACGUG
Molecule: ribosomal RNA, 497 nt
Filed under: uncultured bacterium
Lineage: Bacteria
Description: partial 16S ribosomal RNA
Rfam family: Bacterial small subunit ribosomal RNA
Source: RNAcentral